Molecule: ribosomal RNA, 292 nt
Filed under: uncultured bacterium
Lineage: Bacteria
Description: partial 16S ribosomal RNA
Rfam family: Bacterial small subunit ribosomal RNA
Source: RNAcentral
GUGUCAGCCGCCGCGGUAAUACGUAUGGUGCGAACGUUGUUCGGAAUCACUGGGCAUAAAGAGCACGUAGGCGGUCGAGCAAGUCCGGUGUGAAAUCCCCCGGCUUAACCGGGGAACUGCACCGGAUACUAUUCGACUAGAGUGCAGGAGGGGAGAGUGGAAUUCCAGGUGGAGCGGUGAAAUGCGUAGAUAUCUGGAGGAACGCCGGCGGCGAAAGCGACUCUCUGGUCUGCAACUGACGCUGAGGUGCGAAAGCUAGGGGAGCAAACGGGAUUAGAUACCCGUGUAGUCC